AAAACUUUCAACAAUGGAUCUCUUGGUUCCGGCAUCGAUGAAGAACGCAGCGAAAUGCGAUAACUAAUGUGAAUUGCAGAAUUCAGUGAAUCAUCGAGUCUUUGAACGCACAUUGCGCCCCCUGGUAUUCCGGGGGGCAUGCCUGUCCGAGCGUCAUU
RNAcentral lists this ribosomal RNA (158 nucleotides) under Aspergillus niger. RNAcentral describes it as "5.8S ribosomal RNA". It matches the Rfam family "5.8S ribosomal RNA". From Rfam's summary of the family: 5.8S ribosomal RNA (5.8S rRNA) is a component of the large subunit of the eukaryotic ribosome. It is transcribed by RNA polymerase I as part of the 45S precursor that also contains 18S and 28S rRNA. The record is from RNAcentral. RNAcentral also lists the same sequence under 4 other names. Lineage: Eukaryota; Fungi; Ascomycota; Eurotiomycetes; Eurotiales; Aspergillaceae.